CUACGGGGGGCAGCAGUAAGGAAUAUUGCGCAAUGGAGGCAACUCUGACGCAGCCAUGCCGCGUGCAGGAAGAAGGCCUUAUGGGUCGUAAACUGCUUUUAUUUAGGAAUAAACCCCCGAACGUGUUCGGGGCUGAAGGUACUAAACGAAUAAGCACCGGCUAACUCCGUGCCAGCAGCCGCGGUAAUACGGAGGGUGCAAGCGUUAUCCGGAUUUCUUGGGUUUAAAGGGUGCGCAGGCGGGCUAUUAAGUCAGUGGUGAAAUCCCGGGGCUCAACUCCGGAACUGCCAUUGAUACUGAUGGUCUUGAGUUUGGUUGAAGUGGGCGGAAUGUAGCAUGUAGCGGUGAAAUGCAUAGAUAUGCUACAGAACACCAAUCGCGAAGGCAGCUCACUAAGCCAAAACUGACGCUCAUGCACGAAAGCGUGGGGAUCAAACAGGAUUAGAUACCCCAGUAGUC
Molecule: ribosomal RNA, 459 nt
Filed under: uncultured bacterium
Lineage: Bacteria
Description: partial 16S ribosomal RNA
Rfam family: Bacterial small subunit ribosomal RNA
Source: RNAcentral